UUUGCUGCACGCUAUAGUGUGCAGAGGAGGCCUGAGAGUCGUGGGGGGGUGGGGUGGGGGGGGGAGACACUGAUGUCACCAAGAAAGCCAGGCGCUGGGAGGAAGCACGCACAGACUGAACCUGAACUGAACUUUUCGCAGGCUCCUCUCGAAAAUUAUUAUUCCUCCUGUGGCCGUUCACGCUGUGCAUACACUCCUGUUUACUGGGCCCGUGUGUGUGCGUUCUUGCGGUUUCUUGUUGACUUAAUCACUCCUGCAUGUACCCGCCACCUCAGCACACACACCGGCUGUUUUAUGUAUUUAUUUACUCACUCAUGCACUCCAUGUAUUGCUCACUUACUGUAUGGGCUCAAGCACGGUGACUGCCGGGUUUCUGCUUGUGCUCCCUUGCACGUAUUAUGCACUUACUGCAUACCCCAGUUACCCACUUAGCUCGUCAAUAGUGGGUUUUUUUUUUUUGUUUUUUUUUUAACUCACUCCGCUUGCUCUCUGACACCUAGCAGCUAAAGUAAGUCCUCUUGGAGACGAUACGAUAAAGAACAAGGCAAUGCAAGAAUAGAACAAAAAAAAAGAAACCACAGACAUGAAGCACAUCCAUUUCGAUGCUGUGUAGACAUACAGUAAUUAAUCAUUACCCGCAAAAGUUAUAAGAAUUUUCCCUUUGCUUUCCUGAUGCAGGAAAUCUAACAUUUCCCCUUAUUAUUCCCUUUAAAAUACAGUGUUUUAAAAAACAAAACCAUGGCGAUCAAUAACAACAGUAAAGCCUCAAUAAUUAUGGCGCACAAACAACAGGAGGAGGUAGACAGAUUUAUUUACCCUGGGGGCAUAAUUACUGUGCUCGGAGGGAACAGAGGAAGAUGUCAGAGCGCCAGAAUGGGAAAAGCAAGAACAGCACUCAGCCUCCUAAACAACAUUUGGAAAAACAAAGGAAAAUCCCUCUCACUUAAAGAGGCAAUUUGUAAAAUGUUUCCAGGAAAUUUAGUUUAGAACAUUAAAUUGUUAAAAAAAAAAAAAAAAAAAAGACCCAACAGUGUCAACGGAGAAUGAAGAAACUACAGUGUCACGCCAAAGGCAAGCUAGCAGGCUAACCAGCUAGCUCCGGCCUGUCCUGUGUCAGUACAACGUAACGUAAUAUCAUACGUAAUAUCACUUUGUCUGACGGCCCCCGUGCUUUAAUUCAACUAGGAGAUGGAAAAGCGAUGAGUUUGCAAUUCAGUCUAAUAAGUAAACAGAAUAAACACACAAAAUGUAAAAAAAAAUAAAUACAUUUUAAAAAAUGCUGAAAUACAACAGUACACCGUCCGAACAGCACCAAUGAAACAAAACUCACCCCGGUGUGUCCCUCCACCACCGCUUCUUCUGGUUUGGUUGAAGUAAAUCCUCAUUUCAGAUGUGAAAACGUCCUGGCUCUAAUCGCAGCGCGCCGCGCAUACCAGCCUUUUCCGAAAGUCUGCCGGCCAAACACCAUCACCAUCACCAAACACAGCGGGAACACACCCAAGCAGGCGCCCGUGGAACCUCGAAAUAGGCGAAGGGAGUGGUGCAGGAUAGGGCGCACGGCCAUGAGACAAAAUAAGGCAAUCGGCAACAAUGGAAAGGAGGGCUUUUGCUUGUGGCUUAAGUUCCUUUGGGGAUUCAAAAGCCUAAGUAGUAAUCUUUGCUUUUUUCAUGUAAGAUACUGCAAAGUUUUACCCUAUCAGACCACUAAACAUAUGUCAAAUGAAAUAAUGGGAUGAGGCAGGGAAGAUAAUCCGUCUCCAGUUGCACGGUUCACAACUCGCAGGCAUAAAACAUACAUGACAUAUUCAUAAUGCAAACCACUUAACGUGCCCUAACCUGGAGUGGAUUAUGGCGCCGGGACUCUCUAAGUCAACCAGAGGGGAGGAAUCCCAGCAGGAACCGUCACAGCAGAGUCUCAUGCGGGGUGGAAACCGCCUGAAACUUUUGGAAAGAGUUUCAAAUUUAAUUUUCAAAUUGCGCUGCGAUUCGGCAUAAAUUAGUGGCGCAGGAAAUGUCUUACUUUUUUUUUGAAAAUGUGCUUAAAAAAUAUUAUUUUGAUGACCACACGCUGGCGGCGUAUUUGACUUUUUGUGAAAAAUGUUUAUUCCCCUUCCUGCUUGAGGAGACUGAUAUUAAACUAAAGACUGCUGUGAUAUAAGGCACUGUACGUACGCAUGUAUUUUCUUCCUGAGAUGCUUUCCCUUAUGUCUCAGUUUUAUUUGUCUGACCGUCUCCCUCCACACACACACACACACUCUCACACACAUAACUCACAGUAUAAGCCUGUCUGUGGGAGUUCUCCUGGGUACAGUAUGCAGUCUGUGGGUUUUAUCAGAGGUGUUCCACCUGGAGGGAGUCUGGGAGCAAAAACACAGCUUCAGACAGAUUUAGAGCUCUUUCUGCUCCGCAGGAAUGAGCGGGCAGUGUUUGCGUUGCGCGGUGUUUGAAUAGUGCCCUUUCUGGAGAGAGCCUCCCAUUGGUGAGCGGCUUCUGGAGUGUGAGGAUGCAUAAAUGACACUGCCGGAUAAAAGCCUUUUGCAGCUGUGAAAAUGUCAACACGCAUAACUGGCCGGACACCGAUUUGUUUGUAGUCUGUAAAUGAUGUUCAGUAAUAAGUUGCUGUUGAAUAGUCUUUGUACCUUAACUUUACAAACGGCACUGCACUCUGUCAUUUGUAAUUUGCAGCUCUGCAGAAUGAAAGCUUUUCAUGGGGAGAGAGGAAUGAAAAAAACUCCAUUGAAGCUUUUCUUUCUUUCUUUCUUUUUUUUUUGUUGAGUCAGUUGGAAUCAAGGAUGUUUUUGUCCUGUGCAUCAUUAUUCUUCAUGCGCUGGCUCAUUUUAUUCAUUUUCUUUCCCCCCCGUUCAAAAUUCUUCCCCAGGUUUUUUUUUGUUUGUUUUUGCACCUAAUUUGAUGCCGGGAAAAAUGGAGCUCUUAAGAAAUGUAGGCCACAUAAUUGUGUCAGUAUAACAAAAUUAAAACACUGUAAAUCGGAGCUUCAGGCGUACUGUACGUGUGGAUGUGAAGAAGCAGCCAUGUGUUCAGCAGCUGUCCUCGUCAAAGAGCCGUGUGUCUUCUUAAAAUACAGCGCGGGACCCGGAAUAAGUCACGGACCUGUUUUUUUGGGGGGGGGGGCCUGGUGCCGUAUGUGACCGGGAUUAAAAUUAAAUCAGGCUUGCUGAGAUCGAAUGCAAAUUCAAAACAGGUAGAGCACAAAAACAACUUCACCUUGUGUUGGUUAUUCAUCCUUUUAAAGCAAUGCUUUAAUUGUGUUACGUUCAUAUGAAGCAUGUGUACUGUGCUACUUUGGUCAUUUGAUAUGAUUACAUGUGGUUAUGAUCGCGGUGUGUGUGUGUGUGUGUGAGCGUUGUAAAACAUAUGAAACAGAUUGUAAGCCUGUGACAGAGUAAUGACACAUGGCUAUAAUAAACAUAAUGCUCUUCAUGCAUUACACACAAACAUAAAACCACACCUUUAGAAGUGACUAUGGUUAGAAAGAUUCUAUAAAAAAUAUCUGCGCUGGAAAUGUAUAUCCGCAUGUUGUGAAUGUCAAAUUUUCUGUGCAUAUCAUUAUCUUAUUUUUUUGUUGUUUCCCAUAUUUUUUUUUAAUUAACAUUUUUCACUUUUACCUUGUUUCCCAUCGAACAGAGACUCUUGUUUUUGUUGUUUGUGGCCUGAUCUGAUGCAAGUUUCUUAUUUACUGUGAGGGGCUACGACCGGAUAUCGACAUUUUUCUGUUAUGGAAAUGUUUUUCGCUCUGAAGAUGUCAGAACGCUGAAGUGCUAAUCAGAUCCUUCAUGGUGCAAAACACGAGCAUUUGAGUUGAAGCCUUUCAAAAUGAACUCAAACUAAAAACAUGUGAAGAAAUUACAGGAGAAAUCUGCAGAUAUCUAUCGAAGUUUGCGUGCCGCUCAUUUUUGUUUUAUUUUGUUUUUUCUUAUUGUUGACUGUGUCCAGCUGAUUUUGAUUUGAGCUGCCUAUUUGAUUUGUUGCUUUUGUGUGGUCAUUUGAUGGUUUAUUGCUGUUUGUUCACAGGUUUGGUUUUGUAAAAGCAAAAUAAAAUAUUCUAAUAAAAAUAAGCAUUUAUAAAGAAUUCUAAAAAAAAAACCACACACACGCUGUAUACAUCAAACAUUGAAUUUAUAUGCAACAACAUUUAGGGGGCAUCAACCAUUUCUGACUGGGCAUAUUUUUGAUUUGCCAGCUUUUUGCUGAUACCUUCGCCUGUGCUAUUUCUCUUGCUGUUGCUAUGUCCUUUUGCUGGUGAAGUGAUCACGGUCUCACUUGAUGUGACUGCUGUGAAUUCAUGGAAGUCAAAAAGUCAGAGCAUCUCUGCGGCCGUCAGCCAGACAAGGUUUUUGGUCCAUGGGCUCAAAAUGUUUGAAGCCUGAAAACCUUCUUCCUCCAAUGGACCCAAUGAGCCACUCUGCAGGAAUGCUGCACCAUCUUGGAACCUGGUAUCCAUUUCUGCUUAUCAUAUGUUUUAGUCAAGGGACGAUCAACUAGAACAGAGUUAAGUCCGCCUAUAACAACAGAUCAUUUUGCAUAAACACUUUCUUCAGGAUAUGAAGGAAACAGUAAAACUAUGAAAUGAGGAAAAGGGAGAAGCAGUCUGACAAGUAUCUGAUUCAACGCUAACAUAAUGCCGCUGUUGGUUGUCACAAGGUUAUGAAGCCAUUAAGCCCAGAGAAUCUUUUUUGAGAUCCGAAGAAACAUUGUGUGAUAAUACACACUUAGGAGAUGGCAGCCUGCCAAAUAAGAUAAUAAAGUCUUUUGAUUUGUACAUUUUUCACGUUCUUUGCGGCGGGCAGGCGCGGAUACAGUUACAUCCUGGAUUUUGAUCAAAAGGUACCACACCUUGUUUCAGAAGCCACGUCGUUUGUUACUUGGCGAGUCACCAGAUGUUCAUUUUAGGCCCUGGUGGCUACACACACACACACACA
This is a long non-coding RNA of Acanthopagrus latus (yellowfin seabream), 4940 nucleotides long. RefSeq lists it as uncharacterized. The record is from RefSeq and is a predicted model, not a curated record. Lineage: Eukaryota; Metazoa; Chordata; Actinopteri; Spariformes; Sparidae. The transcript has 2 exons.